RNAcentral lists this ribosomal RNA (860 nucleotides) under uncultured bacterium. Its description in RNAcentral is "bacterial SSU rRNA". It matches the Rfam family "Bacterial small subunit ribosomal RNA", at positions 51 to 877 of the family's 1533-position model. The record is from RNAcentral.
ACACAUGCAAGUCGAACGGGAAGAGAUGAAGAGCUUGCUCUUUAUCGAAUCCAGUGGCAAACGGGUGAGUAACACGUAAACAACCUGCCUUCAGGAUGGGGACAACAGACGGAAACGACUGCUAAUACCGAAUACGUUCCACGGGCCGCAUGACCUGUGGAAGAAAGGGUAGCCUCUACCUGUAAGCUAUCGCCUGAAGAGGGGUUUGCGUCUGAUUAGGCAGUUGGUGGGGUAACGGCCCACCAAACCAACGAUCAGUAGCCGGUCUGAGAGGAUGAACGGCCACACUGGAACUGAGACACGGUCCAGACUCCUACGGGAGGCAGCAGUGGGGAAUCUUCCGCAAUGGACGAAAGUCUGACGGAGCAACGCCGCGUGAGUGAAGACGGCCUUCGGGUUGUAAAGCUCUGUGAUCCGGGACGAAAGAGCCUGAGGUAAAUAGCCUAAGGAAGUGACGGUACCGGAAAAGCAAGCCACGGCUAACUACGUGCCAGCAGCCGCGGUAAUACGUAGGUGGCAAGCGUUGUCCGGAAUUAUUGGGCGUAAAGCGCGCGCAGGCGGCUUACUAAGUCCAUCUUAAAAGUGCGGGGCUUAACCCCGUGAUGGGAUGGAAACUGGAAAGCUGGAGUAUCGGAGAGGAAAGUGGAAUUCCUAGUGUAGCGGUGAAAUGCGUAGAGAUUAGGAAGAACACCGGUGGCGAAGGCGACUUUCUGGACGAAAACUGACGCUGAGGCGCGAAAGCGUGGGGAGCAAACAGGAUUAGAUACCCUGGUAGUCCACGCCGUAAACGAUGGAUACUAGGUGUAGGAGGUAUCGACCCCUUCUGUGCCGGAGUUAACGCAAUAAGUAUCCCGCCUGGG